GAAUCCAGGAUGUUGUAACCUGAAAAUUACUUUCAGCACAGGUGGCUUGGCUUUAAAGGGUUAUGUAAAGUAAUCAGAACAUCAAGGACUCGAGGAAGGUCUCCGAGCGACCCCCUAACAGCAAGCUAUAUGGAGUAUAAAGCAUACGUAUAAGAUAAUAAGGCCGCGCUUAGGAUUCGUGCGCACAAAGCAAGAAUCUAGACACAUGAUGAUGAUGCGAUGAACAAUAAGAGCAAGCCAUAUGUGCGUAUACUAACUAGCCCACCCUGUCUCUCUCUGUCUCUGUACAAGAUAUUCCAUCAAAAUCGUAAGACCAAACCCAGCAAUGGAAACAACUAAAAUGACAAAUUCAUAAUUCUACCAAGUCCGAGACUAACUAUACUAUACUGAUGAUGAAGCGUCGACGAAAAUUCCAGAAACACCUCACUCUUUUCUCUUCUCUCCGUGAUGACAACGACGUCGCCGGCCCCACCCACACGUGCCGUGCGUAUCAAUCGAACUCGGCAGGAAAAGGUGUCCUCCUCGCUUCCAUCUCCGGCGACGCGCGCGGCGGAGACGGACAGCUAUCGUCGAACGGACGGACGAAGGAACGAAGGAAGGUCGGUAGGAUCAGAGCUUGGUGUGGUCGCGGCACUCCUGGCUGCGGACGCCCAGCUCCGCGACGCCGAAUACGAAGCUGCAGUCGGAGUAGGCGACGGCGUGGCGCUUGAACACGCCGAACACCGCCACCCGCCCGGGGAUCCUGGUGCUGGCCUCCAGCGGCAGCGACCCGGUCUCCACGUCCGUGACCAGCUGCGCCAGGUCCCCGGCGAACCGGUCCGCCUGCAGCGUCAGCGCAAGCUUCACGUCCGCGUCCCCCUUGCUGGGGACGCGGCCGGGGUCGAUCUCGGCGUCGCCGACGUGGGCGCCGCGGUAGGUGAGGUCCGUGUGGCCGCCCGACGGGAAGGAGAAGGAGGCCGGGUUGGGGUUGUGCACGGACACCGUGAGGAGGAGGGUGACGUUGAGCUGGAUGUUGAGCGCCGGGAAGGUGAGGCGCGGGGCCACGCCGAUGAGGC
RNAcentral lists this long non-coding RNA (1055 nucleotides) under Triticum aestivum (bread wheat). RNAcentral's name for it is "long non-coding RNA (TAES_LNC008711)". The record is from RNAcentral. Lineage: Eukaryota; Viridiplantae; Streptophyta; Magnoliopsida; Poales; Poaceae.